GACGAACGCUGGCGGCGUGCCUAAUACAUGCAAGUAGAACGCUGAAGGAGGAGCUUGCUUCUCUGGAUGAGUUGCGAACGGGUGAGUAACGCGUAGGUAACCUGCCUGGUAGCGGGGGAUAACUAUUGGAAACGAUAGCUAAUACCGCAUAAUAGUAGAUGUUUCAUGACAUUUGCUUAAAAGGUGCAAUUGCAUCACUACCAGAUGGCCCUGCGUUGUAUUAGCUAGUUGGUGGGGUAACGGCUCACCAAGGCGACGAUACAUAGCCGACCUGAGAGGGGGGUAGGCCAAACUGGGAAUGAGACACGGCCCAGACGCCGACGGGAGGCAGCAGUAGGGAAUCUUCGGCAAUGGACGGAAGUCUGACCGGGCAACGCCGCGUGAGUGAAGAAGGGUGUCGGAUCGGAAAGAUCUGUUGUAAGAGAAGAACGAGUGUGAGAGUGGAAAGUUCACACUGUGACGGUAUCUGAACAGAAAGGGACGGCUAACUACGUG
RNAcentral lists this ribosomal RNA (495 nucleotides) under uncultured bacterium. Its description in RNAcentral is "partial 16S ribosomal RNA". It matches the Rfam family "Bacterial small subunit ribosomal RNA", at positions 28 to 507 of the family's 1533-position model. The record is from RNAcentral.